GUACUACUUGAACAAAGCCAAAAUUUGUAGAGCUAUUUGAGGGAACUAGAAGCUUCCAUAAAGAUCUUCAGAUGAAGACUGAGAUCUUUAAAACUUUAUUUUAAAAAAUGCAGAGACAACAGUCAACACCUGAAUCAAGAAGCAGACACCACAGUACAAACCAAACGGCAUGAUGACAAAGAUAUUGACUGCACCAACAGCAAGGCUGUUUCCUUACCUCCCUGCUUAUGGUCAUCAGUUGCUUCUCAGCUCUUCUGUGUCCCUUGAAGCCCCUAUAUUCUUCCCAUUCCUCCCAAGGUACCUACAAGCCUGAAUUUCAUGAGUAUUAUCCC
This 332-nucleotide long non-coding RNA is filed under the name Homo sapiens (human). RNAcentral's name for it is "HSALNT0146154". The record is from RNAcentral. Lineage: Eukaryota; Metazoa; Chordata; Mammalia; Primates; Hominidae.